GUUUUUGGCCAUACCACCCUGAACAUGCCCAAUCUCAGAAGCUAAGCAGGCUUAGGCCUGGCUAGUACUUGGAUGGGAGAUGACCUCGGAGUAUUAGGUGCUAUAGGCU
Molecule: ribosomal RNA, 109 nt
Filed under: Meriones unguiculatus (Mongolian gerbil)
Lineage: Eukaryota; Metazoa; Chordata; Mammalia; Rodentia; Muridae
Source: RNAcentral